This 733-nucleotide long non-coding RNA is filed under the name Rosa chinensis. RNAcentral describes it as "sRNA RchiOBHm_Chr5g0020341". Lineage: Eukaryota; Viridiplantae; Streptophyta; Magnoliopsida; Rosales; Rosaceae. The record is from RNAcentral.
GCGUCCCCCGUCAACAUCCACCUCCUUAAUUCACAUCGAAUUCAUCCGAACAUUCACCAUUAAUAAUCAUUCGUCGGUAUACAUAUUCUAGAGUGAAUUCGAAGGGAAUUCGGCGAUCGAAUUCACGUAAAUCAAUAAUCAACAAUUCAUGCUCAAUCGUAACUUCCUCCAAUUUCCAUCAAACUUCAUGUAUAAGCUUCUAAUAUCAUUAAAGAAUUUAUGGAACUAAAACGGUAAUUAAAACGUAGUUCUACGCGCCACCACGCGCUACCUACAGUGGCGGCGCGUGGUCCCCACGCGCCGGCAGCCACUUCCUCCGAUGACAACCAAACUCCGGCACUAGCAUCUACACAAUAAGCCCAACCAACUUCCCAACUACAACAUCAUCCAAUUUUACCUCGAAGUGGUUGAAUCAAGCCGGUGAAGAAAAGCCGGAAACUUCAAGAACCCUAAAAAUGGAAAAUUGUCAAUUCGAUAUCUACACUGCAAAUUGGAUUGAACUACCUUAGGGGAAAUGAUCACCAUCAAAAACCGAACCUUCGAUGCUAACCUGGUGGCCGGAAUGGUCGGAAAUCGGCGAAACCCCAAAACUGCAACCGGAGCAAACCUUGAUUCGAUCCGAGCUUUUCCGGCCAAAUCGUCGAAAACUAAGGGCACCAGCGUGACCAGGGGGAGGAGGCGACCCUGUGGUGGCCGGCUUUCUGCCGGGUGAUGGCCGGACGGCGGCCAAUCG